UUGUGACAGCCCUAUUCGGUAAAAGUCCAAGUUCAUAUUAUGGCAAGAACAGCUCAAAUAAGUAAAGAGAAACGACAGUCCAUAAUUACUUCAAGACAUGACGGCUGCCAUGGUGUGGGCCUAGCGAGCUGAGCUUUCAAAAAUCACAUCAGGAGUGACAUGAUGUGAACACAAGCAGUAGAGUGAGAUAUUGCAAAGUGAGGGCAAAGCAAAUGGCUGCACUUGUCUGUACCCAUACAUUUAAUGAUAUUCUCCUCCAAUUCGUGUUGAGAGGAGGCGAAGAGAGAGAAUGUGAGGAAUCGAAGAAAGACAAAUUGAGAAAGAGCCUAUCCCUAAAUCCCUGAGCGGGUUGGAUAGGUGAUCUAGCGGUUCUGCAAUGCUCAGAGAAGACUACCGUAUCCCUUCCCCAGACCUGGAUCCAUCUGAUGUCCUCCGUGACCAACCACCCUCCAAGAUCCCACUUUUCAUUACAUUAUCUACAGCUACUGUCAUUGCCAUGUUUAAUCUAAUCUGCUAAGAAACUGUGCUUGCCAUAUCAUCCUAGGCACAGUGAGAUACACAGAUGAACUAUGUACACUAGCACUGCAAAUACUCCAAGAGCGAAGAGAGCAGCUGUGCCUGGACUUUGCAAUCACCAUCUUUAAGUCCCGCUUCUGAGAUUGCAUGCCUGUGGAGGGAAAGUGAAGGGCAAAACCACCCGUAACACCCACCUCCUCUCUAUUCCAGAAUUGAGAGAUACAUUUUUUUUUAUCCAUACCCUACUUCUGCUAAGACUCUUUUGAAGAUCCCCUCUUAUAUUAUGUACUUUACUUGUCAUUCAAACUUAUUUUUUCUAAACUAAAUGGUAUAUUACUGUUGAUGUGUUGAUUGUAAUACAUGACUAUAGGCUGUCUAUAACUGCCAUCUGGGUAUAUUGAAUAAAAUAAGCAAGU
This is a long non-coding RNA of Oncorhynchus nerka (sockeye salmon), 932 nucleotides long. RefSeq lists it as uncharacterized. The transcript is spliced from 5 exons. The record is from RefSeq and is a predicted model, not a curated record. NCBI's taxonomy places the organism in Eukaryota, Metazoa, Chordata, Actinopteri, Salmoniformes, Salmonidae.